Molecule: non-coding RNA, 1339 nt
Organism: Xyrichtys novacula (pearly razorfish)
Lineage: Eukaryota; Metazoa; Chordata; Actinopteri; Labriformes; Labridae
Source: the annotation of a GenBank genome assembly
GGCGCUGGAGUUUGGCACAGAUUGUAAUAGAAAUGAAAAGGAGAAAAAUAACAGAAAUGCACAUAGGCAUGGUUUUAUGUGCUGCCUUAUAUUGUCUGCUCUAGAUGAAUGACAGUGUGUGUGUGUGUGUGUGUGUGUGUGUGUGUGCGCGCGCACGUACUAGAGUGAGAGCUGCUCCCUGCCUUUGAAUAUGAGUGAGCAGUGGGGAGACUGGCUGACCUUUCAGGGACCUCCCUGACUGAAGCUGUCCUGUAGUGGUAUUUACAUUACCAUUUCAAUACACUGCCAAGCAGGGCUGGCAAUAAAAUAUUCAGUUGACCUUUAAGGCAAAAAAGACUUAGUUAGAGACUGUCAUAUCAUUUAACCUUAAGACUAUACAGUGUAAGUGUGAGCUGUGUCACUGUGUGCCCCUCAUUACUGGCCACAGUCUGACAGAGUGCUCUCUUUAAACUGAAAGCCAGUCUGUAGAGGCAGAGGGACUACCCUGCUGUCCCCAUAGUGACUCCUUCCAUCCCUGCCUUAGAAGGUUUUACAGCCCAACUGAAGACUCAAUCUUUUGCCUUAUACUGUCGAUCAUCUCUACACCUCCCCUGAGUAUGAAGGACUUUUUAAUAGAGCAGCAGUCCCCAGAGCUGAUCAAAUAAGACCAUACAGAGGGGCCACAGAGCUGCAGUUCCUCCACUGACCACUUGAGGCUGGCUCCAAAAGUAUGUCAGUCCCCAUUUGAGCUUAAAGCAAAAUCAAACGUUCAAAAUCUGGUAUUUGAGACUACUGAAGCCUCUUUGACUAAUUUCUCUAUUCCUAAAAAAACUGUAGGCUACAGGUUUUGAUUGUAAAUAUAACUGUGGUGUUUAUAAUAUAUAUAUUCCCAAAGACAAAGGCUUCAGAAAGAGUGGGCAAUUUUAAUAUUUUCAGGACAGCUGUCCCUAUGGUGCUGAAAGACUUUCAGCUCUAUGUGCCUGCCACUUUACUCAUGACUUCCCAGUAAUCAAAGUCCAGCAUGAACUUUAUUUGCAUCUCAACUGUAAUCUAUGUCUGUUCCUUCUAUAAAGUACCUCAAUUUAAAGCCUUAGCCACGGGCUGUAAGUAAGGUUACAGCAGCAGCUAAUGUAGAAACAGAACACCUGUGAAAGAGAGCUAACUGUCGACUAACAGUUAUCCUAAGACAUUCAUUGUAAUGGCAUAACUUUUCAAUCAUUUCAUGCUAAAACUGCGUGGAAAUAAGUCAUAAGUCUUGGCUGACUUUAUAUCACUGAAAAGGCAACUGAAAAAAGCAGUCAGGCAGAGCCGGAGCAGUACUAAGUAUGUUUUUUUUUUUUUUUUCUGUAAUUGGUGCCAG